CGACAAUUACGCAGUAAGGGCAACAGUACUCCAGGCUUUAGAAGCUCAAAGGAGAGGGGUGGCAAAAAAUCAGGCACAAAGACAGUAGCCGGCUUGGACAUGGCUAAAUAGUGCAGGCGACAGGAAAAAGGGGCGGCGGGGGGCGGGGGAGCUGGAGCGUGAAGAGAGAAAUUAAAAGCAAUGAAUUGGUAGGCGUGAGCAGUUUUCCCUGGAAGCUGGAGAUGCAGGCAGGAUGAGCUUCGAGUCAGCCUCUGUUUGGAUGGCUUAGUCUGGCUUGCAUCUGGAUUCUUUUUUAUUUUUUUUUCAUUUUUAAAAUUUUUUUUCUUUUCAUUUUACAUUCCAACCACAGUUCUCCCUCCCUCCCCUCCUCCCAGAACCUCCCUCCCCCGCCUCCUCCCACAUAGGUCUUCAGUCAAGGGUAUACGCAGUAGCUGCUCCCUUCUAGAACCUCCAAGUGUCUGGAUUCUUAAGGAUCCCGGAGCUCUGUUGAGUUCAGGAAGUCACCGUGCCUCUGUUUCCUUGCUUUGUGGGCUGAGUUAGACCUCUUAAGUUUCCCUUCAGUUGAAACAUUGUAUGGAUUUGUUGUUGAGAAAUGCAAUACAGAUUGCAUACAGUUGGCAAUCCCCAAAUCGUUUGUGUGACGUCUGGUUGCUGUACCGGGAGACUUAAAAACCUCCAUCUUGCUCGUCUUCAGCAUCCUGUAGCUCAAGACUCCUCGGGAAAGUGUAGAAGAGGGCCCCCCAGGAUGUGGUAACUGCUAUCAAGCUUCCCAGUACCAGCUGAGGAGAGCCAGCUCCCGGAGACCUGGAAACUUGUAGUAUUUCAGGGCACCGGAGCUGUUGGGUAGUGGGAGCAUUGGUAAGGAACUGGUAUGGAGUGAAGCUGGACUCUCAGAACACUGAAGCAACACCGGAACCUAAUGGGUUAGCAAUUGAGUAGACCACUCUUUUCUGUAAGAUUCACAUCUUAAAAGAAAACUUUCUGUUAGAAGGCUCCCAAGAAAUCAGAUACUGUUAGCUGGAAUGCAAGAAUGUGGGCAAAUAGGAAAAUUCCUAGGUCCCCCAACCCUGUCUGAUGAUUCUUACCCUUUGUCACUUCUUGGGAAAAAUCCUAUGUGAUGGCUGUUUUAAACACUGGUCCUGGAGAAGAUGCGGGCUCCGGCUCUGAAGAAACCCAUGUUACAUUUCCUCCUCCAUUUAGGAUUUGAUGGUCCUGCUUAUCUAGAGUGCUCACAUUGUGAACACCGUGGCGGGCUGGGGAUUUUAAUUCUGCCUUGAUGGAAUUUGAACCUAAACAUGAUGCCAGUGCCACUUUAUAAACUGGGAAUCAUUAAGCUGGCUACAAAUACCUCGAGGGGUCCUUGCUCGUUCAACAUAAAUCAGUAAAAUGACAGGCAAUUGACUUUGAAGACAGCUCUCAUGCGGCUGAGUGGCUGGAGCUGCUGGAAGCAGAUGAGGCCAUUUUCCUGUAAACAUGCUUUGGAUUAGCACCAGAGUAAACAGCAGAUUGGGCUGUGUCUUCCAGACUCCAGCCUACCCUGGAUCUUUUAUUAGGCAGAAACCAACAUGCCCCUCAGGGCAGGGAAGUUGCCAAUUGGAAGAACUAAGUUUGGAUUUCAACUACUGUUUCAGAGGUUUAGUCCGCCGUCAUCAUGGUGGGAAACACAGUGGCGUGCAAGCAGAUAUGGCGCUAGAGAAGGGGCUGAGAGUUCUACAUCCUGAUCAGCAGGCAACAGGAAGUGAACUGUGUGCUGGAAGUAGCUUGAGCAUAGGAGAUCACAAAGCCCACCCCAUACAGUGAGACACUUCUUCCAGCAAGACCACACCUACGCCAACAAAGUUACACCUCCUAACUGUGCCACUCCCUAUGGGGGCCAUUUUCUUUCAAACCACCAUACCUGUGUUAUAUAAGAAUGUAGGCUGAACAAACCAUGAAGAGCAAGCCAGGAAACAAUGUUCCUUCGUGGUCUCUACUUGAAUUCCUGUUUCUGGGUUUCUGCUUUGGGUCCCUGUCUUUGUGUCCCUUGAUGAUGUACUAUAACCUGUAAGCUGAAAUAAACCUUGUUCCUGAAAAAUUGCUUUUGGUCAAAGUUUUAUCAUAAGAUCAGACAGCAAACUAGGACAGUGACCAGUGCUGACAAUAUAGCCCUCAAAACGUGUCCCUGCCAUUGAGUGACACAUGAUUAUCUACUUUUUUUUGUCAGGAUCGGCUAGAAUUCUGGUCAAUUUUUUGUUUAUCAGUUACUGCCUUUGACUCUUGAUAGUCCCUUAUGAUGAAGUUUUCUUCUUACUGGACCAUGUCUUCUAGUUGAUGGGCUGGGGGUUUUCUCAUCUCUUAAAUGUUCAAAAAUAUCUGAAAUUUCCCCUCAUAGUUGGAUAAUUGGG
This 2384-nucleotide long non-coding RNA is filed under the name Cricetulus griseus (Chinese hamster). Its description in RNAcentral is "lncRNA (ENSCGRG00015038078.1)". The record is from RNAcentral. Lineage: Eukaryota; Metazoa; Chordata; Mammalia; Rodentia; Cricetidae.